CUGCCCAAGGGAGGGGCUCGUAGACACAGCAGUGUCUACACUGGCAGUGAGCCGGCGUGACAGGGAGUGACGCCAUGCACGACGGUCACGGACACCCUCGAACACACAGUGGCACGGAAUCAGAAGCGGUUCUAAUUAGGGUUCUCCAUAAGACAGAAAUUACCUUCAGCAGCACCCGGUUUUCUGGAAAAACAAUGAACAAUUAAUUCUUUUUUUCCAAACUAGGCUUAUCCAAGCAGAGGGAAAUACAGGCCACCAAGGUUUUCAGAGAAAAAAAGAAAAAGAUUAAAGACAACCAAUCGACAAUUGCGUAUAUUUUAUUACAAAAACAAAACUCCGGGUGUCUGUGAAAUUCAAAUUUUUCCCAAGGGAAAUUAACGAAUAUCAUUAAAACUGAGUCCAGUUUAUAAGGA
Molecule: long non-coding RNA, 413 nt
Organism: Lontra canadensis (Northern American river otter)
Lineage: Eukaryota; Metazoa; Chordata; Mammalia; Carnivora; Mustelidae
Exons: 2
Source: RefSeq, a predicted model, not a curated record